This 1375-nucleotide long non-coding RNA is filed under the name Citrus x clementina. RNAcentral's name for it is "Citrus clementina (C. clementina) long non-coding RNA (CCLE_LNC004910)". Lineage: Eukaryota; Viridiplantae; Streptophyta; Magnoliopsida; Sapindales; Rutaceae. The record is from RNAcentral.
CUAUAGCCUUGGUGGGGGGCGCGGGCGAAGUUCGUCCGCCGGAAUCGGAAUGGGGCGAGACUUUGCGAGGGGCCUCGGGGUGCCAAAAAUAAGCCGCGGGCAAAGCCGUGCCCAAAAAUAAGCGCCCAAAGGUCGUGGUGCCAAAACCCCCCAGCGGAAAAAUGGCCAAAAAACGGGUGGGCUAUAGCCUUGGUGGGGGGCGCGGGCGAAGUUCGUCCGCCGGACUCGGAAUGGGACGAGACUUUGCGAGGGGCCUCGGGGCACCGAAAAUAAGCCGCGGGCAAAGCCGCGCCCAAAAAUAAGCACCCGAAGGUCGUGGUACCAAACCCCCCAGCGGAAAAAUGGCCAAUAAACGGGUGGGCUAUAGCCUUGGUGGGGGAGGCGGGCGAAGUUCGUCCGCCGGACUCGGAAUGGGACGAGACUUUCCGUGGGGCCUCGGGGCGCCAAAAUUAAUCCGCGGGCAAAUCCGCGCCCAAAAAUAAGCGCCCGAAGGUCGUGGUGCCAAAACCCCCCAGCGGAAAAAUGGCCAAAAAACGGGUGGGCUAUAGCCUUGGUGGGGGGCGCGGGCGAAGUUCGUCCGCCGGACUCGGAAUGGGGCGAGACUUUGCGAGGGGCCUCGGGGCACCAAAAAUAAGCCGCGGGCGAAGCCGCGCCCAAAAAUAAGCGCCCGAAGGUCGUGGUGCCAUAACCCCCCAGCGGAAAAAUGGCCAAAAAACGGGUGGGCUAUAGCCUUGGUGGGGGGCGCGGGCGAAGUUCGUCCGCCGGACUCGGAAUGGGGCGAGACUUUGCGAGGGGCCUCGGGGUGCCAAAAUAAGCCGCGGGCAAGCCGCGCCCAAAAAUAAGCGCCCGAAAGUCGUGGUACCAAAACCCCCCAGCGGAAAAAUGGCCAAAAAACGGGUGGGCUAUAGCCUUGGUGGGGGAGGCGGGCGAAGUUCGUCCGCCGGACUCGGAAUAGGGCGAGACUUUGCGCGGGGCCUCGGGGCGCCAAAAAUAAGCCGCGGGCAAAGCCGCGCCCAAAAAUAAGCGCCCGAAGGUCGUGGUGCCAAAACCCCCCAGCGGAAAAAUGGCCAAAAAACGGGUGGGCUAUAGCCUUGGUGGGGGGCGCGGGCGAAGUUCGUCCGCCGGAAUCGGAAUGGGGCGAGACUUUGCGAGGGGCCUCGGGGUGCCAAAAAUAAGCCGCGGGCAAAGCCGUGCCCAAAAAUAAGCGCCCAAAGGUCGUGGUGCCAAAACCCCCCAGCGGAAAAAUGGCCAAAAAACGGGUGGGCUAUAGCCUUGGUGGGGGGCGCGGGCGAAGUUCGUCCGCCGGACUCGGAAUGGGGCGAGACUUUGCGAGGGGCCUCGGGGUGCCAAAAAUAAGCCGCGGGCAAAGCCGCGN